AUACGAAGGUCCCGAGCGUUAUUCGGAAUCACUGGGCGUAAAGAGUAUGUAGGCGGUUUGGUAAGUCAGGUGUGAAAUCCCGGAGCUCAACUUCGGAACUGCAUCCGAUACUGCCAGACUAGAGUAAUGGAGAGGCAGGUGGAAUUCUCGGUGUAGCAGUGAAAUGCGUGGAUAUCGAGAGGAAGACCAAUGGCGAAGGCAGCCUGCUGGACAUUUACUGACGCUGAGAUACGAAGGCUAGGGGAGCGAAAGGGAUUAGAAACCCCAGUAGUCC
This 274-nucleotide ribosomal RNA is filed under the name uncultured bacterium. Its description in RNAcentral is "partial 16S ribosomal RNA". It matches the Rfam family "Bacterial small subunit ribosomal RNA", at positions 523 to 796 of the family's 1533-position model. The record is from RNAcentral.